UACGGGGGGGGCAAGCGUUGUUCGGAAUUACUGGGCGUAAAGGGCUCGUAGGCGGCCAACUAAGUCAGACGUGAAAUCCCCAGGCUCAACCUGGGAACUGCGUCUGAUACUGGAUGGCUGGAGUUUGGGAGAGGGAUGCGGAAUUCCAGGUGUAGCGGUGAAAUGCGUAGAUAUCUGGAGGAACACCGGUGGCGAAGGCGGCAUCCUGGACCAAUACUGACGCUGAGGAGCGAAAGCCAGGGGAGCAAACGGG
RNAcentral lists this ribosomal RNA (253 nucleotides) under uncultured bacterium. RNAcentral's name for it is "partial 16S ribosomal RNA". It matches the Rfam family "Bacterial small subunit ribosomal RNA", at positions 524 to 776 of the family's 1533-position model. The record is from RNAcentral.